UACGAAGGGAGCUAGCGUUGUUCGGAAUCACUGGGCGUAAAGCGCACGUAGGCGGAUUUGUCAGUCAGGGGUGAAAUCCCGGAGCUCAACUUCGGAACUGCCCUUGAUACAGCAAGUCUUGAGUCCGAGAGAGGUGGGUGGAAUUCCUAGUGUAGAGGUGAAAUUCGUAGAUAUUGGGAAGAACACCGGUGGCGAAGGCGGCCAUCUGGCCCGUAAUUGACGCUGAGGCGCGAAAGCGUGGGGAGCAAACAGG
This 253-nucleotide ribosomal RNA is filed under the name uncultured bacterium. RNAcentral describes it as "partial 16S ribosomal RNA". It matches the Rfam family "Bacterial small subunit ribosomal RNA", at positions 524 to 776 of the family's 1533-position model. The record is from RNAcentral.